Molecule: long non-coding RNA, 345 nt
Filed under: Felis catus (domestic cat)
Lineage: Eukaryota; Metazoa; Chordata; Mammalia; Carnivora; Felidae
Description: lncRNA (ENSFCAG00000050227.1)
Source: RNAcentral
AUGACCUGGAGCUGCAGAGCGACGCAGCUUUCCGUGCAGUCGUCACUCCCUUCUAGGUAUCAGCUCCCCGCUGCCUUGCGCCUGGCGGGCUGGCACUGGGUCCGAGGAAAGCGGAGCAGUAGAUCGGUGUGGCACUGUUCUGUGGCGAGGCAAGGGAAGAAAGAGAGAAGAAAACUGCACGGGAUCUGUGGAGUUUUCCAGAUUCCCCUGUCUGACCACCUUGGUGAAAGAAAUGAUGGACUUUUGGGAGAAACCCUAGAAUCUUACAGGUCUUCCCAUAGGCCCACAGUAGGGCUGUUUACCAUUGGAAGCAAGGGAAAGGGGGAGACUGGCUUGGAACCAUGA